Molecule: ribosomal RNA, 473 nt
Filed under: uncultured bacterium
Lineage: Bacteria
Description: bacterial SSU rRNA
Rfam family: Bacterial small subunit ribosomal RNA
Source: RNAcentral
UGGGGAAUAUUGGACAAUGGGCGAAAGCCUGAUCCAGCCAUGCCGCGUGUGUGAAGAAGGUCUUCGGAUUGUAAAGCACUUUAAGUUGGGAGGAAGGGCCAUUACCUAAUACGUGAUGGUUUUGACGUUACCGACGAGAAUAAGCACCGGCUAACUCUGUGCCAGCAGCCGCGGUAAUACAGAGGGUGCAAGCGUUAAUCGGAAUUACUGGGCGUAAAGCGCGCGUAGGUGGUUUGUUAAGUUGGAUGUGAAAUCCCCGGGCUCAACCUGGGAACUGCAUUUAAAACUGACAAGCUAGAGUAUGGUAGAGGGUGGUGGAAUUUCCUGUGUAGCGGUGAAAUGCGUAGAUAUAGGAAGGAACACCAGUGGCGAAGGCGACCACCUGGACUGAUACUGACACUGAGGUGCGAAAGCGUGGGGAGCAAACAGGAUUAGAUACCCACGUAGUCCCUGAGCGGGCUGGCAAGGCGCAU